GCUGCUGUAGCUCAGUGGCUAGAGCGUUGGUCUCGUAAACCAAGGGUCGCGAGUUCGAAUCUCGUUGGCGGCA
This 73-nucleotide transfer RNA is filed under the name Trichonephila clavata. It matches the Rfam family "tRNA". Rfam says of the family: Transfer RNA (tRNA) molecules are approximately 80 nucleotides in length. Their secondary structure includes four short double-helical elements and three loops (D, anti-codon, and T loops). Further hydrogen bonds mediate the characteristic L-shaped molecular structure. tRNAs have two regions of fundamental functional importance: the anti-codon, which is responsible for specific mRNA codon recognition, and the 3' end, to which the tRNAs corresponding amino acid is attached (by aminoacyl-tRNA synthetases). tRNAs cope with the degeneracy of the genetic code in two manners: having more than one tRNA (with a specific anti-codon) for a particular amino acid; and 'wobble' base-pairing, i.e. permitting non-standard base-pairing at the 3rd anti-codon position. Lineage: Eukaryota; Metazoa; Arthropoda; Arachnida; Araneae; Nephilidae. The record is from Rfam by way of RNAcentral.